GGCUCAGGAUGAACGCUAGCGACAGGCCUAACACAUGCAAGUCAGGGGCAGCACAGGAGCAAUCUGAGGUGGCGACCGGCGCACGGGUGAGUAACACGUAUGCAACCUGCCUGUAAGCGGGGAAUAACCCGUUGAAAGACGGACUAAUACCGCAUAAUACUAAAUUACUGCAUGGUAAUUUAUUUAAACAUUUAUGGCUUACAGAUGGGCAUGCGCAUGAUUAGCUAGUUGGAGAGGUAACGGGCUCCCCAAGGCAACGAUCAUUAGGGGUUCUGAGAGGAAGGUCCCCCACACUGGUACUGAGACACGGACCAGACUCCUACGGGAGGCAGCAGUGAGGAAUAUUGGUCAAUGGACGAGAGUCUGAACCAGCCAAGUCGCGUGCAGGAAGAAAUGUCCUAUGGAUUGUAAACUGCUUUUGCAGGGGAAUAAAGUGCAUCACGUGUGAUGUUUUGUAUGUACUCUGCGAAUAAGGAUCGGCUAACUCCGUGCCAGCCGCCGC
Molecule: ribosomal RNA, 502 nt
Filed under: uncultured bacterium
Lineage: Bacteria
Description: bacterial SSU rRNA
Rfam family: Bacterial small subunit ribosomal RNA
Source: RNAcentral